Molecule: long non-coding RNA, 853 nt
Organism: Mauremys reevesii (Reeves's turtle)
Lineage: Eukaryota; Metazoa; Chordata; Testudines; Geoemydidae
Exons: 3
Source: RefSeq, a predicted model, not a curated record
UAAGACACAGUAAGGUGGAUGAAAAACUAAGAUGAAGGAGGAAAACGGAGGAAGGAUGGAGAAACAGCAACAGGAACUUGUUUUAGUUUUAAGGCCAGAGUGGACCAUUAUGAUCAUCUAGUAUGACCUCCUGUAUAACAUAGGUCAUAACAUUGUUAGUGAUUCCUGCAUCAAACCCAUAACUUCUAUCUGAGCUACAGCAUAACUUUUAGAAAGCUAUCUAAUCUUGAUUUAAAGACCACACAUGACUGCUCCAUGUCUCUAGGUCAAAUUCUGAAGUCAAUGGGAUGACUUGUUUACACACAGAUUGUAAGCUCUUUGGAUCAGAGACUGGGUCUUUUUGUCAGAAGGUGAAUGGGGAAACAGAGACACUGUGAAGUGAAGUAACCUGCCGAAAUCACACAGUAGACCAGCAGCAGAUCUAGGAAUAUAACAGUGCUUCUGACUUCCAGUCCAGUGCUCUGUUCACUAAACUACACUGCACUCAGUAUCAGUAUUAUUUAAUUCCAGGCUGCUGCUGAAUCUUUAAAGACUUGACCUUCAGAAUUUCAGAAUCUGCACUGUGAUGCAAUUGAGCAACAGUGAAACACCAACAGGUUAUGAUAAGAUGAGAUGGAAUUUUAUUGCUAAACUGAACCAUAGAGUAUCUAAGGAAUUCUACAUGACUCUUUGUUUUCGUGAAGCUUAAUUAUUGCAAAAUUGCCUAUCUGCAAAAUACAGCUACAUUCAAGUACUGAAUUCGAGAGUAAAGCAUGAACAAAGAGAAGAGGCUUCCCACGAGAUGUCUCUACAGUCUGUACAGAGAGGCACAAAUGUAAGCACAUUAAAAAAAAAAAGAAAAAGAUCAGACACA